Molecule: ribosomal RNA, 653 nt
Filed under: Chloroflexota bacterium
Lineage: Bacteria; Bacillati; Chloroflexota
Description: Chloroflexi bacterium partial 23S ribosomal RNA
Rfam family: Bacterial large subunit ribosomal RNA
Source: RNAcentral
UCGCCCAUUAAAGCGGUACGCGAGCUGGGUUCAGAACGUUGUGAAACAGUUCGAGAUUGAGCUGUUGUCUCUCACACAAUCGUUCGACGCGAGCCUGUAAUUAGUUGAGAGCUCGGCAACCCAAGGCCGAGAACAAAUCUGGCUAAAUGCUGGGAACUCCGUGGAUCCUCCGCUACUGCAAUCAGCAGUGAAAAUGCGCGAGGUGCGGACAAUCAGCAGGAAAGACCGAUCUCACGAUCGGAAUCCUCACAGGCCAUACGCCGGACUCGACUUAGUCGAGAAGAUAUGGUCGGAUCCCUGCGGCGACGCAGGGCACCAGCGGGAACAAGAAACCAGCUGGUCUAGUAACAAGACGUCGGUCUCUAUCCAGUGUGCGCGCAGGUGAGUUGAGAGGAGUUGCCCCCAGUACGAGAGGACCGGGGUGAGCGGACCGAUGGUGUACGAGUUGUCCUGCCAAGGGCACCGCUCGGUAGCUAUGUCCGUUCCGGAUAACCGCUGAAAGCAUCUAAGUGGGAAGCCGACCUCGAGAUGAGCUCACCCUCUGGGUAACCAGGUAAGACCGCACGUAGAUUACGUGUUUGAUAGGCGGCGGGUGGAAGGAUCGCAAGGUCUGGAGCUGAGCCGUACUAACGGUCGAGGGCUUGACCUAAUUU